This 484-nucleotide ribosomal RNA is filed under the name uncultured bacterium. Its description in RNAcentral is "partial 16S ribosomal RNA". It matches the Rfam family "Bacterial small subunit ribosomal RNA", at positions 30 to 507 of the family's 1533-position model. The record is from RNAcentral.
AUUGAACGCUGGCGGCAGGCCUAACACAUGCCAGUCGAGCGGAUGAAGGGAGCUUGCUCCUGGAUUCAGCGGCGGACGGGUGAGUAAUGCCUAGGAAUCUGCCUGGUAGUGGGGGAUAACGUCCGGACACGGGCGCUAAUACCGCAUACGUCCUGAGGGAGAAAGUGGGGGAUCUUCGGACCUCACGCUAUCAGAUGAGCCUAGGUCGGAUUAGCUAGUUGGUGGGGUAAAGGCCUACCAAGGCGACGAUCCGUAGCUGGUCUGAGAGGAUGAUCAGUCACACUGGAACUGAGACACGGUCCAGACUCCUACGGGAGGCAGCAGUGGGGAAUAUUGGACAAUGGGCGAAAGCCUGAUCCAGCCAUGCCGCGUGUGUGAAGAAGGUCUUCGGAUUGUAAAGCACUUUAAGUUGGGAGGAAGGGCAGUAAGUUAAUACCUUGCUGUUUUGACGUUACCCACAGAAUAAGCACCGGCUAACUUCGUG